RNAcentral lists this ribosomal RNA (473 nucleotides) under uncultured bacterium. RNAcentral describes it as "partial 16S ribosomal RNA". It matches the Rfam family "Bacterial small subunit ribosomal RNA", at positions 28 to 506 of the family's 1533-position model. The record is from RNAcentral.
GAUGAACGCUAGCGGCAGGCCUAACACAUGCAAGUCGAGGGAGGAGCCUUCGGGCUUCGACCGGCGUACGGGUGCGUAACGCGUAUACAAUCUGCCUUUCACAUAGGGAUAGCCCGAAGAAAUUUGGAUUAAUACCUAAUGGUAUAUAGAUGUGGCAUCACCUUUAUAUUAAAGCUGAGGCGGUGAAAGAUGAGUAUGCGUUCUAUUAGCUAGUUGGAGAGGUAACGGCUCCCCAAGGCGACGAUAGAUAGGGGUUCUGAGAGGGAUAUCCCCCACACUGGUACUGAGAUACGGACCAGACUCCUACGGGAGGCAGCAGUGAGGAAUAUUGGACAAUGGUCGGAAGACUGAUCCAGCCAUGCCGCGUGCAGGAAGACGGCCUUAUGGGUUGUAAACUGCUUUUGCAGGGGAAGAAUAAGGACUACGCGUAGUUUGAUGACGGUACUCUGCGAAUAAGCAUCGGCUAACUCCGU